UACGAAGGGUGCAAGCGUUGCUCGGAUUUAUUGGGCGUAAAGGGUAGGUAGGUGGUCUGGAUUGUCAGAGGUGAAAUCCCCGAGCUUAACUUGGGAAGUGCCUCUGAAACGUCCAGACUAGAGUUCUGGCGAGGGUUGUAGAAUUCCCGGUGUAGCGGUGAAAUGCGUAGAUAUCGGGAGGAAUACCAGAGGCGAAGGCGGCAACCUGGACAGAUACUGACACUAAACUACGAAAGCGUGGGUAGCAAACAGG
This 253-nucleotide ribosomal RNA is filed under the name uncultured bacterium. Its description in RNAcentral is "partial 16S ribosomal RNA". It matches the Rfam family "Bacterial small subunit ribosomal RNA", at positions 524 to 776 of the family's 1533-position model. The record is from RNAcentral.